CCUACGGGUGGCAGCAGUGAGGGAUAUUGGUCAAUGGGGGAAACCCUGAACCAGCCACGCCGCGUGCGGGAAGACGGUUUUCGGAUUUUAAACCUCUGUCCUCUGUGAAGAUACUGACGGUAGCAGAGGAGGACGCUCCGGCUAACUACGUGCCAGCAGCCGGGGUAAUCCGUAGGGAGCACGCGUUGUCCGGAUGUACUUGGUGUAAAGGGUGCGUAGGCGGCCUUGCAAGUCAGAAGUGAAAUCCAUGGGCUUAACCCGUGAACUGCUUUUGAAACUGUAGGGCUUGAGUUAAGUAGAGGCAGGCGGAAUUCCCGGUGUAGCGGUGAAAUGCGUAGAGAUCGGGAGGAACACCAGUUGCGAAGGCGGCCUGCUGGGCUUUAACUGACGCUGAAGCACGAAAGCGUGGGUAGCAAACAGGAUUAGAUACCCUAGUAGUC
This 440-nucleotide ribosomal RNA is filed under the name uncultured bacterium. Its description in RNAcentral is "partial 16S ribosomal RNA". It matches the Rfam family "Bacterial small subunit ribosomal RNA", at positions 338 to 795 of the family's 1533-position model. The record is from RNAcentral.